GGAAAAUGAGGAGUGGUCGAGUCUUGCAUUUAAUAUGUGAGUUGGGCGUUCGCCCCAAGCUUGGUUACGACAAAUGGGCACUCUAAUGCAACCAAUCUGAUCCC
This is a small nucleolar RNA of Vicia villosa (hairy vetch), 104 nucleotides long. RefSeq annotates it as small nucleolar RNA Z279/snoR105/snoR108. Lineage: Eukaryota; Viridiplantae; Streptophyta; Magnoliopsida; Fabales; Fabaceae. The transcript has a single exon. The record is from RefSeq and is a predicted model, not a curated record.